Thunnus maccoyii (southern bluefin tuna) is the source of this 251-nucleotide long non-coding RNA. RefSeq lists it as uncharacterized. Lineage: Eukaryota; Metazoa; Chordata; Actinopteri; Scombriformes; Scombridae. The transcript is spliced from 3 exons. The record is from RefSeq and is a predicted model, not a curated record.
CAGAAACUGAAAUGAGACGAAGAACCCCGCGUAGGAAAUUCGUCUGCCUCUUACCUUCAACCCUGCCAUCUCCACUCUGGUCCCUAACUUGAAAACUUCUGGUAUUUACAAUAAAAAACAAAACAAGAAUACAAAAGAAACAGACAGGACUUCUCUUGGAACAGGUGAGAAGAGGUACCACAAUGGUCAUCCAGCUGAUCGCCAUGGUGAUGUGAGUCCGCCGUUGCUCGGCGAUGAUAUCGAUGGAGCGG